This 270-nucleotide ribosomal RNA is filed under the name Klebsiella pneumoniae. RNAcentral's name for it is "partial 23S ribosomal RNA". It matches the Rfam family "Bacterial large subunit ribosomal RNA", at positions 142 to 450 of the family's 2925-position model. The record is from RNAcentral. Lineage: Bacteria; Pseudomonadati; Pseudomonadota; Gammaproteobacteria; Enterobacterales; Enterobacteriaceae.
GUCACACUAUCGUUAACUGAAUACAUAGGUUAACGAGGCGAACCGGGGGAACUGAAACAUCUAAGUACCCCGAGGAAAAGAAAUCAACCGAGAUUCCCCCAGUAGCGGCGAGCGAACGGGGAGCAGCCCAGAGUCUGAAUCAGCUUGUGUGUUAGUGGAACGGUCUGGAAAGUCCGACGGUACAGGGUGAUAGUCCCGUACACCAAAAUGCACAGGUUGUGAACUCGAAGAGUAGGGCGGGACACGUGGUAUCCUGUCUGAAUAUGGGGG